This 1200-nucleotide long non-coding RNA is filed under the name Fukomys damarensis (Damara mole-rat). RNAcentral's name for it is "lncRNA (ENSFDAG00000029274.1)". Lineage: Eukaryota; Metazoa; Chordata; Mammalia; Rodentia; Bathyergidae. The record is from RNAcentral.
AUGCUGUUGCAGCUGUCAAAAGAUAAAGCAAACAUGCAACACAGAUACGUAGAACUCUUCUUAAAUUCUACAGCAGGAGCAAUCAGUGGUGCUUAUGGUAGCCAAAUAAUGGGAGGCAUGGGCUUGUCAAACCAGUCCAGUUACAGCGGCCCAGCUAGCCAGCAGCUGAGUGGUGGCUACGGAGGUGGCUAUGGCGGCCAGAGCAGCAUGAGCGGAUAUGGCAGCCAAGCAGCAGUGAACAGCAGCUACUACAGUAGUGGAAGCCAAGCAUCUGUGGGGGUGAAUGGAAUGGGAGGGGUAUCUAGCAUGUCCAGCAUGAGUGCUGGAUGGGGAAUGUAUUUGAUCCUGAUCACUGACUCUUGGUCAACUUUUUUUUAAAGGAAAAAACAGAUCUUCAGUUUAACAGUUUUCACAGUCUGAGCUUGUGAUUUAUAAUUACUGCUAUCAGUGGAAAUGAGGAUUGUUUUAAAGACUCAAGGUUCAGUAUUUUUGAACACAAGUUAUCCAGGGUGUAACAUCGAAGUAAACUUUAACUGUUAAACAAUUUUCAGCUUUUCUCAAGUUAGUAAUAUUAUAGGAUUACUUAAGUAGUAAGUGUAUUUGGGUUAAAGCAGUUGAAUUAUGUUAAAUGUUGCUCUUAUGUCACAUUACAUGGAACACUGUUUGGAUGCAUGUUGAAAAGACAUGCUGUUUUGUAAAAUUCAAUAUAGGAGCUGUGUCUGCAAUUAAAAGUGAAACAUUUGGCAUGUUUGUUAAUUCUACUUUCAUUUAGUAACUUGUAAGGCACGUAAAGUUUAAGCUUUUUUUUUUUAAGUUAAUGGGUAAAUUUGAGACGCAAUACCAAUACUGUAGGAUUUGGUGUUGGUGUUUGUAUGAAAUUCUGAGGCCUUGAUUUAAAUCUCAUUGUAAUGUGAUUUCCUUUCAGGUGUAUUGCACUAAGUGAAAUUUUCAAAUACAUCUUUUACAAACUGAAAAAAAAAAAAAAGGUGUUGGUUUCAGAGAUGUUAAAAAAAAAUGAAGAAUAAUUGCUUUUUUAAAUCAGCUAAUGGUAGUUGGUCUGGUUUGGAGACCCAGUCAUCCAUGUGAUCAAGUGAACCAUAGGUGAUUCUGUAUCUCUUUGCCAUGCAUCUUAUUCAGUCAUUCUUUCAUUCAUUCAAUAAGCACACUUUAACCCUUAAAAUAAGCUCAAGUGCUAUAUAG